CAGUAUGUCCAGCUAAAUUUGAAUUUCUUAUAAGCAAAUAAUUUUUUAGUGUAAGCAUACUUGUACAAUAUUUGGGACAUACUUACACUAAAAUAUUAUUCAUCGUGUAUCCAAGAUUCAAAUUUAAUUUGGUGUCCUGUA
Molecule: microRNA precursor, 141 nt
Organism: Vicugna pacos (alpaca)
Lineage: Eukaryota; Metazoa; Chordata; Mammalia; Artiodactyla; Camelidae
Source: Ensembl